RNAcentral lists this long non-coding RNA (2029 nucleotides) under Dermacentor andersoni. RNAcentral's name for it is "uncharacterized LOC126546113". Lineage: Eukaryota; Metazoa; Arthropoda; Arachnida; Ixodida; Ixodidae. The record is from RNAcentral.
ACCAGUACCGUCAGUGCGAUGUCAUAUAUAUUAAUGCAUUUUCUCAUUUUCGGAUCUUUCUGGCGCAGCGAAGGUAAUCGAAACUUGCUAGGUUGUCUUUUGUUUUCUUUAUUAUGCAAUUUCGUCCUUCUUUACCGAUAAGCUAUUAACCAGACCCGAACAGAUGCUGUCAAAAUCCACGACGUCAAGGUAUUCUGGUGCAGAAACCGGAGGACGGCGUCGCCACCAAUGUUUUGUUUUUCAUAUUUCUUGCUGGGCCAAGCCGCCUUUUACGGCAACACCGGCCGCUUUGCUAUUGCAGAAGCGUCAUUUACUGAUACAUCUCAACUUACAAUUAUUUGAUGUCUCCUUACGAUAACGCACUAGUGCCGGGUUGUGAUCGUCGUGCCAAGAGCGCGAGGAAUAAAUGUCUCCCAGCGCUGACAUCCGUUUCGUUACACGCGUUGAACAGGAAGUUGUCCCAAGGCUAGCCAUAAAACGUUUCCGCGUUGAACUAGGCCCAGCGAAGUCUAAACAUAAAAAAAAAGGCUAUCAAAGACGAAGAAAGACGGAGCGGCGGGAGGUGUGAGGUUUAUAAAAAGAAAGCAACGAAAAUUACCGGUUAGCGGUUAGCAAAAUUUGUUCAUCGGUUAGCGACCUUGUUCAUCUAUCGCACGCUUGAGAACAGCACAAUAACAGUGCGCAAGCGCCCCGUCACGUGGUAUUUUUUCAUAUUUCGCAGGCUUUCUUUGGAACGCGGAAAAAAGGACCACGUGAGAUAUAUCGUGUUGGAAACAAUUUAUUGAGAAGUUUCUCAAGGUGCUCUACAACUUUGCGUAUCACACUUGGGGUCUGCAGCCAAUACUUAAAAAGUUGAUUACCUAAACAUAACUAAUCCGUUAGUUAAGGGCAAAAAAUAAAAUGAAGUUGCCUGAGUAACUUUAGGCCAGUGUCAACAUUCGGUUCAACUCGCGUCUGGAGUGCCUUUCCUUUUUAAAACGUUGGCUCAAGUUAUGUGGGACAACCGCUAUAUAAUAAAUUAAACCUAAAUCGACGAAUACUGCCACCCUUGAAGCGCCAUGUACUGCACAUGGGCAAGGCUAAAUGUGCCGUGUCGUAUUGCGGUAGUAGCUGAUAAUACACAUGACGAGUGUGUUAUCAUCUCACUUGCUUGGCGCGGAACCAUCAGGAAUUUGUAAGAAGUCCCAUUUGAAAGUGAGAGAUCAUACUGCUUAGUGGUAUCGGCCAUACAUUUACAAUUCAAAGGACUAUCCAGAUGCACAUGACGACAUUCACAUCCUACCAGUCUUUGCAGGCUGGAAGAGCAUUUUCUGCACUUCAUAGAGCCAAGCGCCAUUCAUUAUCUACGCGUCUACAAAAACCAGGUGUGCUUAAUGUUCAGACAUUUCCCAACAGACGCUUGGUACCCAAGGUGGCAGUAAUUGCAGAGGACUGCAGGUGUCUCAGCAUGGACGACGCGUCCGCUCUGGCAGUCGUGUAGUAUCGUGGAACUUCGUCUGCGGACUCUUGCAAGACGAGCCGUCGCGUUCCGAACCCGAGCAUCCAGGGCUUCAACCGACCCGGGCCUCCUGUCAACCCGUUCCCAGGCAUCGCUACUCUUCCCGAGCAUGGACUGCUACCCGAGGCUGGCGAACUUCUGCGCCCGAAGGCGGAGUGCAAGCAGUCGGGCUACGGGCCCGAGCUUGCGUCCAGCUGCCCGACCAGAAAGCCGCCUCCAUCUGCCCGUGCUGCCAAGCCGCCUGCGUUCCAUCUCCAAGACGGAGCUGCCACGCUCUGUUCUCUGGCUCAUUGCUCAACUACAUCGACACUGUGGUGAGACCAACGCCAUUUCUUUCGCCGCCUCGUCUCCGCGCCUGCGCGUCGAACUGUUGCGUGCGCUCACACUCAUAGUCAGCCCCUAACUCAAGUGCCGUUGGUACUUUCAUAGCUCUUAGUGUAUGUUAGUUCUUGUUGAGAAUGUUUCAUUGAGUGUUCAUUUUAUGUGUUUCUCUCCAUACUAGUUGCAUUAAAAGUUUUGUGUGCGUUUUGC